GACGAACGCUGGCGGCGUGCUUAACACAUGCAAGUCGAACGGUGAAGCGCCUUCCUUUUUGGUGGGUGUGGAUGAGUGGCGAACGGGUGAGUAACACGUGAGUAACCUGCCCCCUUCUUCUGGAUAACCGCAUGAAAGUGUGGCUAAUACGGGAUAUUCUGGGUCUGUCGCAUGAUGGGUCUGGGAAAGAUAUUGUUUCGGUGGGGAUGGGCUCGCGGCCUAUCAGCUUGUUGGUGGGGUGAUGGCCUACCAAGGCGGUGACGGGUAGCCGGCCUGAGAGGGUGGACGGUCACACUGGGACUGAGACACGGCCCAGACUCCUACGGGAGGCAGCAGUGGGGAAUAUUGCACAAUGGGCGCAAGCCUGAUGCAGCGACGCCGCGUGAGGGAUGGAGGCCUUCGGGUUGUGAACCUCUUUCGCCAGUGAAGCAGGCCUGCCUCGUUUGUGGGUGGGUUGACGGUAGCUGGAUAAGAAGCGCCGGCUAACUGCGUG
RNAcentral lists this ribosomal RNA (493 nucleotides) under uncultured bacterium. RNAcentral describes it as "partial 16S ribosomal RNA". It matches the Rfam family "Bacterial small subunit ribosomal RNA", at positions 28 to 507 of the family's 1533-position model. The record is from RNAcentral.